CGAAAAUACCCAUCUCAGGUUUUUUUGUGAUGAUUGAAUACAGUAAUGCAUGUGAAAGUGCCUGAUAAAUGAUGACGCAACUGAGGCCUAGAAAUAACUGCCAAUGUAACAAAUCCAGACCCUGGCAGGAUAUGCAUUUGAACCAAGGCUAUCCGGCUCCAAAAAAGAAUUAACUUUGCGGAAGGACUCUUACAUUCUCCAGUGAAACCUUUACUCUGGGAGCAAUUUGACUGAGUCAUAGCUGAGUUCAUUAAGCCUUAGUGCCUCAGGGAUGCAGCUGAGGACUCAAUGGCAGGUUUUCAGGGAUGUAAACCAUUGUGUGGACAAUAAAAUAGAGAACACUAAGGCUGUGGAAAUUUAUCUCCCUGUGAAGCUUGCCUUUUGGCUUUUUCCGAAGGAGAAUAUCCCCAGUUCACUUGUAGCACUGCUCAGUAUCCAGGAGGGCUUGUUAUGUAAUCCCAUCCUGUUUGAAGCUUCUUGAGCUUCAGUAAUCUCAGUUCCCUGUGAAGCACCAGACACAGGAGGACUAUUUUAUAUCAGCUUUAAAAAUACGGGAAAAAUAUUGGAUGCAUAUUCCUUGAACUUAGAAACUAUGAGUCUAAGGUCAUAGCUGGGGAGAGAUUGAUCUGAUUAUAAUAAGAUCUGUGACUUAGUAGUGGAGGAGUUGGUUCUAACCUGGCAAGGCACAACCCACCCACAUGAUCUUCUGUAAAUCUUCUAGGGUAGCGUCAACCAGCAACCUUUGCCAGUGUAUGAUAGCUAAGGGUUUGCUUUUUAGACUUUAUUAAAAGUCCAGCUAGAGAAAUAAUUCUGAAAAUAAUUUGCAAUACAUUGUUCAUUUACUUCUGGGAUCUAAGUUUUAUUGUGGGCUUAGGUCAGUCCACUAGGAGACAACAUUUUUGCCAAUUUGCCAGAUUGCCUUUAUGUGAUUGUGUUUUACUUAUCCUCAGAGUUUAAGAUGUCAGACCUGGGAUCCAGCCCCAACUCUGUCAAUUAUGGGCUGUGGGAUGUUGGGAGAGCGGCUUAAUCAAUUUAAGCUUCCAUUUCUGAAUUUGGAAAAUGUGAUAGUAAAUACUUCAUAGAGCUUUUGUAAGAUUUUAAU
Long non-coding RNA from Homo sapiens (human), 1102 nucleotides. RefSeq lists it as uncharacterized. The record is from RefSeq and is a predicted model, not a curated record. NCBI's taxonomy places the organism in Eukaryota, Metazoa, Chordata, Mammalia, Primates, Hominidae. The transcript has 3 exons.